GUGAGGAAUAUUGGUCAAUGGGCGGGAGCCUGAACCAGCCAAGUCGCGUGAAGGAAGAAGGAUCUAUGGUUCGUAAACUUCUUUUGCAGGGGAAUAAAGUGCAGGACGUGUCCUGUUUUGUAUGUACCCUGAGAAUAAGGAUCGGCUAACUCCGUGCCAGCAGCCGCGGUAAUACGGAGGAUCCGAGCGUUAUCCGGAUUUAUUGGGUUUAACGGGUGCGUAGGUGGUUUGAUAAGUCAGCGGUGAAAGUUUGCAGCUUAACUGUAAAAAUGCCGUUGAAACUGUCGGACUUGAGUGGAGAUGAGGUAGGCGGAAUGCGUGGUGUAGCGGUGAAAUGCAUAGAUAUCACGCAGAACUCCGAUUGCGAAGGCAGCUUACUAAGCUACAACUGACACUGAAGCACGAAAGCGUGGGGAUCAAACAGGAUUAGAUACCCGGGUAGUCC
This 445-nucleotide ribosomal RNA is filed under the name uncultured bacterium. Its description in RNAcentral is "partial 16S ribosomal RNA". It matches the Rfam family "Bacterial small subunit ribosomal RNA", at positions 354 to 796 of the family's 1533-position model. The record is from RNAcentral.